RNAcentral lists this long non-coding RNA (268 nucleotides) under Carica papaya (papaya). RNAcentral's name for it is "long non-coding RNA (CPAP_LNC009800)". The record is from RNAcentral. Lineage: Eukaryota; Viridiplantae; Streptophyta; Magnoliopsida; Brassicales; Caricaceae.
UAUCCCCUGUUAUGUUGCGUACGCGCAGUACACUACGUGCAAACGUGGGGCUCUGACAGGCACCCCUACUGCACCGAGAGGGGCUGCGUGCGGAUACUAUCUUUUGCGUGAAGGCACGUGCAUAUGCACGCAUGGAUGUGCACUUGGAUGCCUCAUUGCCCGAGGCACAAUCCCCACAAGCAAUGUUGCCCCGUGCAACAAGCUUGCGAGUCGUGCGGGCUUGCCAAGCGUGCACAUCCUUGUAGGCUUGCACCAUCAUGUGUCGUGG